RNAcentral lists this ribosomal RNA (471 nucleotides) under uncultured bacterium. RNAcentral describes it as "SSU rRNA". It matches the Rfam family "Bacterial small subunit ribosomal RNA", at positions 26 to 518 of the family's 1533-position model. The record is from RNAcentral.
AGGACGAACGCUGGCGGCGUGCUUAACACAUGCAAGUCGAGCGGAAAGGCCCUUCGGGGUACUCGAGCGGCGAACGGGUGAGUAACACGUGAGUAAUCUGCCCCUAGCUCUGGGAUAGCUCCGGGAAACCGGGAUUAAUACCGGAUACGACCACCUUAGACAUCUUUUGUGGUGGAAAGAAUUUCGGCUAGGGAUGAGCUCGCGGCCUAUCAGCUUGUUGGUGGGGUAACGGCCUACCAAGGCGACGACGGGUAGCCGGCCUGAGAGGGCGACCGGCCACACUGGGACUGAGACACGGCCCAGACUCCUACGGGAGGCAGCAGCGGGGAAUAUUGCGCAAUGGGCGAAAGCCUGACGCAGCGACGCCGCGUGGGGGAUGAAGGCCUUCGGGUUGUAAACCCCUUUCAGCAGGGACGAAGCGAAGUGACGGUACUGCAGAGAAGCGCCGGCUAACUACGUGCCAGCAGCCGC